AGCGAACGCUGGCGGCAAGCUUAACACAUGCAAGUCGAACGGUUGUAGCAAUACAGCAGUGGCGGACGGGUGCGUAACACGUGGGAAUCUGCCUUUAGGUAAGGAAUAACUCAGGUAAACUUGAGCUAAUACCUUAUAAUGUCUUUGGAUCAAAGAUUUAUCGCCGAAAGAUGAGCCCGCGGUGGAUUAGCUAGUUGGUGGGGUAAUGGCCUACCAAGGCGACGAUCCAUAGCUGGUCUGAGAGGAUGAUCAGCCACACUGGGACUGAGACACGGCCCAGACUCCUACGGGAGGCAGCAGUGGGGAAUAUUGGGCAAUGGGCGAAAGCCUGACCCAGCUAUGCCGCGUGAGUGAUGAAGGCCUUAGGGUUGUAAAGCUCUUUUAGGUUGGAAGAUGAUGACGGUACCACCAGAAAAAGCCCCGGCUAACUUCGUGCCAGCAGCCGCCGUAA
RNAcentral lists this ribosomal RNA (451 nucleotides) under uncultured bacterium. RNAcentral's name for it is "partial 16S ribosomal RNA". It matches the Rfam family "Bacterial small subunit ribosomal RNA", at positions 29 to 523 of the family's 1533-position model. The record is from RNAcentral.